GAAUGACGUGUGAGUUCCUGAUCAGAGAGAUGUUCAGGACUUCUGGGAUCUAUCAGCAGCUAAAGGAACCAGGGGCUCCUCAUCUUGAAUCUUUCUUGCACCUGCUCUAGUAAGAUGCCUCAGCUCACCUCUAUCCUGGGAGCAUGCCCAGAACCCACCUGUGCAGACAGAAGAGGUGGUCAUUUUAAAGUUCUGACCUAGAAAAGCCCAAACAUCAUCCUGACAAAGCAUGAUACUUUUUUGAAGACUGGGAAAUUUAAAAAUUGAAAGGAAGGUGUUUCAGAAGACAGUGGAUGGGAAAGUCAAUAAUAUGGUAAAAGUGUUGUCACAUAUAAUUACAAUAAAGCUAUUGGAAAGAGAUAUGAAGGUGGGAAAACCAAGCUCAGAAGUGGAUUUAACCCAAGUUCAUAUCCCUGGCAAGUGGCAGCAGAGGGAUCCAAACCAAGCACAUCGAAGAACAGCCUGUCCUGUGACCCUGGGAUGCACCGUCUCCAAGAGCUAAAGCAUCACACUAUGGAUAAUGGAACACACUCCUUUCAACAUUACUGGCUGGGGCUAGUUGAGCCUCAGUGUCUCCACUGAGUUAAUAGGGAUUUUGUAGGGAUAUUUUGUAGGGAUAUUUUGAAAGCUAAAAUUCAUAAUGUGUGCAAAAUGUUGGGCACGAAAAAUAUUUCAAUCAAUUAGCUGAUGAUGAGCUUUGAGAAUUCAGGUGGUAAGCAACACCCAGAUCCUGGCAACAUUAUCUUAGUUGAUGGUUCAUUCAUUGCAGUCCUCCAACACAGCGCUGAGAAAUGGGGAAAUGAGGCAGGGCUGUGCCCAGGGCCUGAGGGAGGAGGCUCUUUGGGAAAACCCAGGUGGCAUCCCAUCAGUAGACAUGCCUACAAGGAUUCCAGUCACAGAACUUUCUCUAUGGAAGUUCAGCCCUAUAGACUCACGCAGCCACAGACAAUGGCUGGGUGCAGUGGGGCAGAAGACUGGAGGGAAGAAUUUGUAAAAAUGCAGUCAUGUAGAUGGGGCUUCCCAGGUGACUCAGUGGUAUAGAAUCCGU
Odocoileus virginianus texanus is the source of this 1048-nucleotide non-coding RNA. The record is from RefSeq and is a predicted model, not a curated record. Lineage: Eukaryota; Metazoa; Chordata; Mammalia; Artiodactyla; Cervidae.